Molecule: ribosomal RNA, 348 nt
Filed under: uncultured bacterium
Lineage: Bacteria
Description: bacterial SSU rRNA
Rfam family: Bacterial small subunit ribosomal RNA
Source: RNAcentral
AGGCAGCAGUGGGGAAUAUUGCACAAUGGGCGCAAGCCUGAUGCAGCAACGCCGCGUGAGGGACGACGGCCUUCGGGUUGUAAACCUCUUUUAGUAGGGAAGAAGCGAUGUGCUUGUCACAUCAUGACGGUACCUGCAGAAAAAGCACCGGCUAACUACGUGCCAGCAGCCGCGGUAAUACGUAGGGUGCAAGCGUUAUCCGGAAUUAUUGGGCGUAAAGAGCUCGUAGGCGGUUUGUCGCGUCUGCUGUGAAAACUGGAGGCUCAACCUCCAGCCUGCAGUGGGUACGGGCAGACUAGAGUGCGGUAGGGGAGAUUGGAAUUCCUGGUGUAGCGGGUGGAAUGCGCA